AUUGGUUAAUAUUCCAAUACCAACAUUAGUGUGCGAUGGAAGGACGCUUAGGGCUAAGGGGGCUAGCGGAUGGAAGUGCUAGUCUAAGGUCGUAGGAGGUUAUACAGGCAAAUCCGUAUAACAAUACUCCGAGAACUGAAAGGCUUUUUGAAGUCUUCGGAUGGAUAGAAGAACCCCUGAUGCCGUCGAGCCAAGAAAAGUUUCUAAGUUUAGCUAAUGUUGCCCGUACCGUAAACCGACACAGGUGGGUGGGAUGAGUAUUCUAAGGCGCGUGGAAGAACUCUCUUUAAGGAACUCUGCAAAAUAGCACCGUAUCUUCGGUAUAAGGUGUGGUUAGCUUUGUAUUAGGAUUUACUCCGAAAGCAAGGAAACUUACAACAAAGAGUCCCUCCCGACUGUUUACCAAAAACACAGCACUCUGCUAACUCGUAAGAGGAUGUAUAGGGUGUGACGCCUGCCCGGUGCUCGAAGGUUAAUUGAUGGGGUUAGCAUUAGCGAAGCUCUUGAUCGAAGCCCGAGUAAACGGCGGCCGUAACUAUAACGGUCCUAAGGUAGCGAAAUUCCUUGUCGGUUAAAUACCGACCUGCAUGAAUGGCGUAACGAGAUGGGAGCUGUCUCAAAGAGGGAUCCAGUGAAAUUGUAGUGGAGGUGAAAAUUCCUCCUACCCGCGGCAAGACGGAAAGACCCCGUGGACCUUUACUACAGCUUGACACUGCUACUUGGAUAAGAAUGUGCAGGAUAGGUGGGAGGCUUUGAGUAUAUGACGCCAGUUGUAUAUGAGCCAUUGUUGAGAUACCACUCUUUCUUAUUUGGGUAGCUAACCAGCUUGAGUUAUCCUCAAGUGGGACAAUGUCUGGUGGGUAGUUUGACUGGGGCGGUCGCCUCCCAAAUAAUAACGGAGGCUUACAAAGGUUGGCUCAGAACGGUUGGAAAUCGUUCGUAGAGUAUAAAGGUAUAAGCCAGCUUAACUGCAAGACAUACAAGUCAAGCAGAGACGAAAGUCGGUCUUAGUGAUCCGGUGGUUCUGUGUGGAAGGGCCAUCGCUCAAAGGAUAAAAGGUACCCCGGGGAUAACAGGCUGAUCUCCCCCAAGAGCUCACAUCGACGGGGAGGUUUGGCACCUCGAUGUCGGCUCAUCGCAUCCUGGGGCUGGAGCAGGUCCCAAGGGUAUGGCUGUUCGCCAUUUAAAGCGGUACGCGAGCUGGGUUCAGAACGUCGUGAGACAGUUCGGUCCCUAUCUGCCGUGGGCGUAAGAAGAUUGAAGAGAUUUGACCCUAGUACGAGAGGACCGGGUUGAACAAACCACUGGUGUAGCUGUUGUUCUGCCAAGAGCAUCGCAGCGUAGCUAAGUUUGGAAAGGAUAAACGCUGAAAGCAUCUAAGCGUGAAGCCAACUCUAAGAUGAAUCUUCUCUAAGCUCUCUAGAAGACUACUAGUUUGAUAGGCUGGGUGUGUAAUGGAUGAAAGUCCUUUAGCUGACCAGUACUAAUAGAGCGUUUGGCUUAUCUUU
RNAcentral lists this ribosomal RNA (1508 nucleotides) under Campylobacter jejuni. RNAcentral's name for it is "partial 23S ribosomal RNA". It matches the Rfam family "Bacterial large subunit ribosomal RNA", at positions 1425 to 2925 of the family's 2925-position model. The record is from RNAcentral. Lineage: Bacteria; Pseudomonadati; Campylobacterota; Epsilonproteobacteria; Campylobacterales; Campylobacteraceae.